CAGCAGCCGCGGUAAUACAGAGUGUGCAAGCGUUAAUCGGAAUUACUGGGCGUAAAGCGCGCGUAGGUUGUUUGUUAAGUUGGAUGUGAAAUCCCCGGGCUCAACCUGGGAACUGCAUCCAAAACUGGCAAGCUAGAGUAUGGUAGAGGGUGGUGGAAUUUCCUGUGUAGCGGUGAAAUGCGUAGAUAUAGGAAGGAACACCAGUGGCGAAGGCGACCACCUGGACUGAUACUGACACUGAGGUGCGAAAGCGUGGGGAGCAAACAGGAUUAGAUACCCGCGUAGUCCCUGUCUCUUAUAC
Molecule: ribosomal RNA, 301 nt
Filed under: uncultured bacterium
Lineage: Bacteria
Description: partial 16S ribosomal RNA
Rfam family: Bacterial small subunit ribosomal RNA
Source: RNAcentral